RNAcentral lists this ribosomal RNA (460 nucleotides) under uncultured bacterium. RNAcentral's name for it is "partial 16S ribosomal RNA". It matches the Rfam family "Bacterial small subunit ribosomal RNA", at positions 338 to 795 of the family's 1533-position model. The record is from RNAcentral.
CCUACGGGUGGCUGCAGUGAGGAAUAUUGGUCAAUGGACGCAAGUCUGAACCAGCCAUGCCGCGUGCAGGAAGACGGCUCUAUGAGUUGUAAACUGCUUUUGUACGAGGGUAAACUCAGAUACGCGUAUCUUUCUGCAAGUAUCGUACGAAUAAGGAUCGGCUAACUCCGUGCCAGCAGCCGCGGUAAUACGGAGGAUUCAAGCGUUAUCCGGAUUUAUUGGGUUUAAAGGGUGCGUAGGCGGUCGGAUAAGUUAGAUGUGAAAUCCCGAGGCUCAACCUCGGAAUUGCCUCUGAUACUGUUAGGCUAGAGAGUAGUUGAGGUAGGCGGAAUGUAUGGUGUAGCGGUGAAAUGCUUAGAGAUCAGACAGAACACCGAUUGCGAAGGCAGCUUACCAAGCUACGUCUGACGUUGAGGCACGAAAGCGUGGGGAGCAAACAGGAUUAGAUACCCGGGUAGUC